Molecule: regulatory RNA element, 84 nt
Organism: Fulvimarina pelagi HTCC2506
Lineage: Bacteria; Pseudomonadati; Pseudomonadota; Alphaproteobacteria; Hyphomicrobiales; Aurantimonadaceae
Rfam family: chrB-a RNA
Source: Rfam
CGGAUGGGGAAAGCGAUCUCCCCACGAGGCUCCGGCUGAAGUAUCGCGUCCUUUUCAUCCAUUCUCAUGGACGGACGCGGCAUG